Molecule: ribosomal RNA, 977 nt
Filed under: human gut metagenome
Description: bacterial LSU rRNA
Rfam family: Bacterial large subunit ribosomal RNA
Source: RNAcentral
ACGGUCCUAAGGUAGCGAAAUUCCUUGUCGGGUAAGUUCCGACCCGCACGAAAGGCGUAAUGAUUUGAGCACUGUCUCGACAAUGCAUCCGGUGAAAUUGAAGUACCAGUGAAGAUGCUGGUUACCUGCGCCAGGACGGAAAGACCCCAUGGAGCUUUACUCCAGUUUGAUACUGGGAUUCGGUACUGCAUGUACAGGAUAGGUGGGAGACGAAGAAGGAUGGACGCCAGUCUGUCCGGAGUCGCUGUUGGGAUACCACCCCUGUAGUACUGGGUUUCUAACCAGUUGCCAUGAACUGGCAAUGGGACAAUGUCAGGCGGGGAGUUUGACUGGGGCGGUCGCCUCCGAAAGGGUAUCGGAGGCGCUCAAAGGUUCCCUCAGAAUGGUUGGAAACCAUUCGAAGAGUGCAAAGGCAGAAGGGAGCUUGACUGCGACACCGACGGGUGGAGCAGGUACGAAAGUAGGACUUAGUGAUCCGGUGGUAUAAAGUGGGAUUGCCAUCGCUCAACGGAUAAAAGCUACCCUGGGGAUAACAGGCUUAUCACUCCCAAGAGUUCACAUCGACGGAGUGGUUUGGCACCUCGAUGUCGGCUCAUCGCAUCCUGGGGCUGUAGUAGGUCCCAAGGGUUGGGCUGUUCGCCCAUUAAAGCGGUACGCGAGCUGGGUUCAGAACGUCGUGAGACAGUUCGGUCCCUAUCCGGCGUGGGCGUAGGAUAUUUGAGAGGAGCUGUCCUUAGUACGAGAGGACCGGGAUGGACAAACCUCUGGUGUAUCUGUUGUUUUACCAAAGGCAUGGCAGAGUAGCCAAGUUUGGCAGGGAUAAACGCUGAAGGCAUCUAAGCGUGAAGCCCCCCUCAAGAUAAGAUAUCCCAUCUUCGGAGUAAGACCCCUUGAAGACUACAAGGUUGAUAGGCUUUGAGUGUAAGUGCGGUAACGCACUGAGCUGAGAAGUACUAAUAGGUCGAGGACUUAUCCUU